RNAcentral lists this ribosomal RNA (486 nucleotides) under uncultured bacterium. RNAcentral describes it as "partial 16S ribosomal RNA". It matches the Rfam family "Bacterial small subunit ribosomal RNA", at positions 30 to 507 of the family's 1533-position model. The record is from RNAcentral.
AUUGAACGCUGGCGGCAUGCCUUACACAUGCAAGUCGAACGGCAGCACGGGUGCUUGCACCUGGUGGCGAGUGGCGAACGGGUGAGUAAUACAUCGGAACAUGUCCUGUAGUGGGGGAUAGCCCGGCGAAAGCCGGAUUAAUACCGCAUACGAUCUACGGAUGAAAGCGGGGGACCUUCGGGCCUCGCGCUAUAGGGUUGGCCGAUAGCUGAUUAGCUAGUUGGUGGGGUAAAGGCCUACCAAGGCGACGAUCAGUAGCUGGUCUGAGAGGACGACCAGCCACACUGGGACUGAGACACGGCCCAGACUCCUACGGGAGGCAGCAGUGGGGAAUUUUGGACAAUGGGCGAAAGCCUGAUCCAGCAAUGCCGCGUGUGUGAAGAAGGCCUUCGGGCUGUAAAGCACUUUUGUCCGGAAAGAAAUCCUUGGCUCUAAUACAGUCGGGGGAUGACGGUACCGGAAGAAUAAGCACCGGCUAACUACGUG